RNAcentral lists this ribosomal RNA (497 nucleotides) under uncultured bacterium. Its description in RNAcentral is "partial 16S ribosomal RNA". It matches the Rfam family "Bacterial small subunit ribosomal RNA", at positions 28 to 507 of the family's 1533-position model. The record is from RNAcentral.
GACGAACGCUGGCGGCGUGCCUAACACAUGCAAGUCGAGCGAAAAGACCCGGAUCUUGCUCCUCUGACGUUAGCGGCGGACGGGUGAGGAACAUGUGGUUCACCUACCUAUAAGACUGGGAUAACUUCGGGAAACCGGAGCUAAUACGGAAUAAUAUAUUGAUCCGGAUGGUUCAAUAGUGAAAGACGGUUUUGCUGUCACUUAUACAUGGCUCCGCGCCGCUUGAGUUGGUUGGUACGGUAACGGCUUACCAAGGCAACGAUGCGUAGCCGACCUGAGAGGGUGAUCGGCCACACUGGAACUGAGACGCGGUACAGACUCCUACGGGAGGCAGCGGUAGGGAAUCUUCCGCGAUGGGCGAAAGCCUGACGGAGCGACGCCGCGUGAGUGCUGAAGGUCUUCGGAUCGGAAAACUCUGUUAGUAGGGGAGAACGAAUGUGUAAGGAGCGAUGCACGUCUUGACGGUACCUGAUCAGGAAGCCACGGCUAACUACGUG